UCAAGGCAUGGAGUAUCCAUUUGAACCCUUCAAACAAAGCCACCUCCAGCCUUUUCUUCUUCAGUGUGGUGCAGGGCUGUGGUUGACACGGCACACACAUGCAUCAUACACAUUGUAAUUACAGAGGCAUUUUAAACAUAGGGCUGGCUCAGCUGACGGAGAACAUCAAAGCCAAGGCCAGAGCUGAGUGACUGAGUCCCUGAACAUGGCAGAUUCACAUACCCGCUUGCACACUCACUCAAAAAUGAUAACAGAACUCCCUCUACCUCAGACAAGAGCAGAGACAGGCAAACAUGUCGGAGGGGGGUGAUGAGGCGGAUGAGGGCUAGCCCCUCCUUACUGCUGUAAAAGCAGGAGGAAAAAAAAAGAAAAAAAAAAGGAGAGAGGAGAAAGGAAAAAAAAGGGAGGAAGAAAGGAAAUCGCAGCCAUACGGGCUAUGCUCCCCCAGCUGAACUGUAUCUGCAUUUUAACGGUGGGAGAAAAGACACUAUAUGGGGGUGUGCUCUUCCCUCUACCCUGCCAACCUCAUCUGUCAGCCAUUAGUUAAUCAGAGCUGGUAACACAGAGCACAGAGAGCUGGCACAGCUCGUGGGACCAGAGGACAGCUUCACCUCUGAGAGCAAGAAGAGGGCAAGGACUCAGGGACCUCUGCUUCACCGAUCUACAGCUGGGCUGCUUCACUCACCAGCACCCACUCAGCAUUAAUGUCUUUGUCUAUAAAUGGCAGGCAUCAACUUCAGAAUGACCCCACCCACUCCUCCAGUUGUGUGAACAGGUAAGCCAAUAAGACACAUGGAAAGUUUUAAGGAAUCCAAGAGAGACUUAAGUAGAGUUUAAAUUUCUGUCACUCAGCCAAUAUUGCAAUCAGAGCAGCUAAUACUGUACAAUACCCCACAGAGAGAAGGCAAAUUCCACAAAACCAACUAACCCCUUUUGGCUCAGAUCAAAACUACUCUGUGUGUAGAGGUGCUUUUAUUUAAACACUGAUCACAUCGGCCCCCAGCAUCUAGCAGUGCAUGAAAACAUUUAUUACUGUGAGAACUGUAAUUACACUAUACAGUAAGUCUUUUUGCAAACAAAUUGUGUUUUGAAGUUCGUAAUAUACAAUGAAGACUUCAAAGAAAUUGUGAUUUAUUAUGUGCAAAAGUCAAUUUAGACCACAAGAUCUUUUUUUUUUCCCCUAUAUGUUUUCUAUAUUUAGUGGUUCUAAGUAAGACCAUAUCUUAAAAUGUGAGAGCCAAGGUCGAAUUCCAAUCACAUUGCAGCACGUUCACAAUGCAAGAGGAUGGUAAUACCAAGCAUAUGGUAACUGUAGUUACAUAGACUCUUCAAAGGAGUUCAGUGUUGACCCGGAGCAAGAACAAACUUGCAAGUGUAGACUGUGAAGGGAGUGUAGAAUUAUACCCUGGGCUACAUGUUGUCAAGGCUGUGAGAUAGAGAAUAUACUAAUGAAAGGUGGUUACAUUUCCCCCCGCACACCAAAUGAAGGACACAGCACGUAGGAAUAUUAUGAAACUGAAUGUUCUUUCAGAUAGUGUCCUGUCUUUUGUUUUAGCUUCAUCAAUGUCACCACAUUCUCUGCAAAUGACCGAAACAGUGAGGCGAGAGGGAGGAAGAUAAAGGGUCAAAGAACACUCGGGCUGCUUUUCUGUUCAUGGUCUUGUUUUGCAGGGAGGUUUCAAAGACAGAAGCCAAAACAACACAUGUUGUCAACAUGGGAACAGCUGGUAAGAGCGGCCUCAUGGGGCAGAGGAAUGUCAAGAGUCAUAGAUCUUUUAUCCAUCAAGACAAAAUAGCCACACAGACUUUGUUUGAAAGCAUGCACAGGAGCAGUGUGAAAUCCACCUCGUCUCAUGCUGAGCUUAACUAACUUCAACCAUUUAUCUCACCAGAUGCUUCAAACUACAAAAAUAACGUAUGAUGUACCAUCAGUUUUCAAAGUAUGCCAAUAUAAUCACAUGCAAAUAAUACAUGACAAGACACAAUGAUCAAUUUCAGAUGUGACAAGCUGAUUUUGCCAUAUUAUUAUUAUUGAUUGCAAGAUGUGGAAAUAAUUUUCCGUCUGUCUACGCAGUUCCUGACAGACAGACAGCUGCAGGAACUGCAGCAUACUUGUUAUUGGCUAAAACUAAACAUCAUAUUCCGCACUGCGCACUCCAAAGUAUGACUUUGUCAUCUUUUAAAAGAGUUAAAUAAACAGCCAGUUGAGUAGGCAUAUACAGUUUCUUCAACAUGGUUUCCUUUUUAAGUCAACACCACUCAGAAAAGAUACACCAAGCAGCCAUAAGUCAAAACCAAAUGACAAAACAGCAGAGCUCUUUCAUCUGUCUAAACAUUCCACUGAGAGUUUAUAGAGAUUAUAGUGCAACGUCCAGCACUGCUCAGUACUCUGCUGCAGAUGUGGAGGAAUAACUAUAGAUACGAUGAAAAAUGCCCAUUCCUGAUGCCAGAACUUGAAAAAUACAAACAGCAGACCAAGCCGUAAAGUUAUAAAGCAGUGACCUUUGACACGGGACAUUCAAGUCUAACUCCCUCUUCCUGCUAAAUGUUACACAGCUGCUUUUCUAAUCUGUCAUAGCAACCGGCCUGCCACAGCUUACAUAGAGGAAAGUAUGGAAAAGCUCAAAAAAAAAAAAAAAAGGGGGAGAUCCUGACCUCACGUUUAGAUUUACAAGAAAAGAAAAGAUAAAACCAUAAAGGAAGUGAUAACAGCAAAGCAGAAUUAUAUCGUUCUAUGUUGAUUUUGUAAUGGAAAAUCCACCAAAAUCCACACCUGCUAUGCAUGUGUCCCAUUACCACAUAGAAUACGAUUUAGAAAAUUCAUUUAUCGCAGAGCUUAUGUGGAGAUUAUUUGGUAUCUAAAUGCAAAUGGCUGGGGCGUAACAAAAUUACCGACAUCCCAACCCAACCUCUUCAUCAACUGUCAGGUUUUUUUGUCUUGACAUAGGGCAGAUGGCUCCAUCAGAGCAAAAGUCAACCCAAAAACACUGUCAAUGAGAAAAUGAAUAAAGAAAUGAAAACUGUUAUUCUUGCACAGCUACAAAGUUUUUGAGGCAGAUUUUUCUUCUGUCAACAUCAAAAAAAUAACAUCAGGUUUUAGUUUGAGCCCUUCAAACUCAACUAAGAUGAUUCUUUUUGCAGACAAUCCUUUUGUAGACUUCAUCAAUGGUAAACAUUCAUACAUGAAAAAACCCCCAAAACAAAACAUGGUAGAAAACAAGACAAGAGCUACAGGCAAUGGCAAUAUUCCCUGCUGGAAGUUUUGCCAAAAGUAUAAUGCAGUGGUUAAUAUGCAAAAUGCUCCAUGACAUCUUCUAGAGCUCUACAAUGCUUAUAUAGAAAAUAGUACUUAAAAAAAACAACCACCAAGCACCACAUCUUUUUUUGUUUUAUAGACCUGACAAUUCAUCAUUCAUUCAUCAAGAAAUAAUUGCCAGUUUUGAUGAUGAGAAGAAAUGCGAAAAGCCCCCAAGAAAUUACUCAAGGUUGGGUUUUUGCUUUGAUGUUGGUAUCUUUUUGUAACCAGUGUAGAAAGGACCAAAGAAAAGAAAAAAACUGACACUGACUGACUGUAAUUUACUCACAUCUGUUGACCAGUGGCCCUGCUAUCAUAGGAAAACCAUUCUAAGUAGAUCUGACAGGUUGCUAAGUCGCGUGGAAAGUACAGCGUACUCGAAAUUUUACGAUACACAUUGAGCUAAAUCCCUAACCCUCUUUGGUGUAGCUAAAACCUCACACAGUCUUGUAUGUUGGAGUUGAAAUGAAGGACUAUUAUCUCCCCGUUACUUCAAGUGAGCUAUGACAUCCAGUUUAUCACUGUCUCUCCCGCAAGAGGGGCGAAAAGCUUUUUGACAGAGAUGUUGAGUCCUACAAACUCCAUUUCACUCCAUCAACUUGAUAGUAUCGACGGGCCCAAACAGGACCAGGCCCCAUCAAGUCUGAUGUGGUAGCCUCAUGUGAGAAGAAUAUCUGUUUAAGUGUAGUCUAAGAGGUGACUCCUAGAGGCUUAAAAGCACUUUAUAAUACUUGACCGACGCGUUGAAGAAAAGCAGGCUCUGUCUACCUGUGUCAAAGUGAGGCCAUGUUCCCUAUCAUUGGAAGAGCCUCGGGUAGACCAACCUAAACGCUUCCAGACUUUCACGCCCUGUCUACUCUCAUUUCACUGUAUCUGCUCCUAACUCAGAUCGCCCACAAUAUAACAUCUACCCUUUCUAGAUAGGCUCCUCUCUUAAUUUUUCACAGCGCCCUGAACAAACUCAUUGUGGUUCUAGGUCAACUCUUAUUUCUUUAGAUAGGGGCAUUGCUCCCUUUGCUCCGACAGCAUUAACAUCAAUUUCCGAGGGUAUUUAUGAAAGUGCCGGCAAAGAAAAUCUACAUUACAAUGUGCAAUAUGUUAAACUUCAUGUUAUCCAACUGCUUGACCUAAAAGAGACUUCCAUUCCUAAUGUGAACGCCAUGCUGUGAUCCAAAUAUUUUGAAUCUUCGGAUAACAUCUCGCAGCAUCUGGUUUUCUGCCUCCCAAGUCUUAAUGGUUUGCCAAAAUUUGUAGGCCAUAGUGCUUGACUUUUAACCAGCAAAUCAUCAACUGAACUAUUUUGCUUUCUCUCAAAGGCCGAAAUGAAACAUUAUCUCCUGACUCAGAUUUAAAUUAAAGCCAUGACAAGAGCCAUGCUUGUGAAGACCAAGGGACCUUCCAGCCACCGCUGAGAUUGCUCACACUCGACUGGCAUAUGGGCAGGAUCAGGAAACACAAGCCCAAUGAUGUCACGACCAACUGACCCCAGGGUGACAGGUUUGGAGAAUGUUCAUGCCCACUAACCCUCAGGCCAAAGUCAAGUAUGUCAAUGUUGUGCAUGUGGAUUUCAUUUGAAACAGCAUGAUUAGUUCACAGACGCUCAACUGCGAUCCCCCUCCAUGGGAAACCCUCUCUGGACAGGAAACGGUAUGUUUUUGUUAGCAACAAACAGGCAUAAAUUACUAAAAUGGUGCCUUGGUUGCCAAUUUAUCACACACAGCCUUUUUGUUGCUGCACAUAUUUGACAUCGACAUUGCUUUCAAGGUAAUUACCAUUAGUGUUUUAAUGAUAUUUACAUUCCUGAUAGUUUAUGUUGAACUAUGUGUCUGCAAUCCUGAAUUUGUGCAAUAAAUGUGAUAAUGGUUUUGUGUCUUUUCUUCUUUAUAUAUGACAAAUGUGUUUUGAUGAUGUGCAUUUGGAAAACGCAUAAAGUUUUGACAAUUGUUUGUUUAGUUUUUAGCAGAUUAUCUUUGAGAGACAAACUAAAGUAAAGCUUCUAUGAAAAAUCUGUGCAAUUGUAAAGACAUUAUUGUCUUUCUGUAAAUGGAUGCCAACAUAAAGGGUUACUCUUGUUGGUCAAAUGUUUACCAACGUGCAAAGCAUUAAAGAAUAUUGUCAAGAUGGUAGUAUAACAUCAUUAAUCAAGUUAUUAACAAGUAAUUUGGGUUAUUUCCAAGAAAUGUAGCGUACCUCUGAAACAUAUUUAACAAGAUUGGAGAAAUGGCUUGAAUUAAAAUGCUUUAUGAGGGAUAAUAAAUGUGUUAACUAUGUUCCCAAGAAGGGAUUAAACAGUGCACAAUAAUAUUGGAUAUUUUGAGAAUACAUUAGAUACAUUUUACUGUUAUUGACAGUGUUUUAAUUUAGUGUAGAAAAAUAUUUUACUACCAACGGAGAGGCCAUUACAUAAGGUAAGACGCCUGAAGCUUUGAAACCAUGAGAAAUAUUUUGACAAUGUUAUGUAAUACAAGGAGGACCCUGGACCAUUUGAUCCCCCUCUGGCCUCUAAAAGAGCCUCCUGAAUGUUUAUCAUUUCAUACAGGCAAUAUUUAAUAUUUUGGCUCUAUAAACUGAUUAAAAAUGAAAAAGGCUUCCUGUAAUAUAUAAUAGAAGUCACAUGUGUGAACGGAUGUCAGCCUCUCGUUUAAGUUUAAAUCACUCUGAUCAACACUUGAUCUAGCAUGUGGACUACACUGUCGCUUCAUAUAAAGCUAUAUUAAAUAAAUGCUCCACUGCAGUUGGUUCAUAAGAUGUUUCUGAUUAUAGAAUUUAGUGAUAUGGCGUAUUUUAAGUUGAAGCCUAUGGCAAAUUUAUAUGAACUAUUACAUUAUUCAGAAUAUACUGCCUGAUAUUGCCUUUUCACGCUGUUUUAAUUUGUGUUUCACUUUAAAGAACAACCGCCUCUAAAAAAAAA
Molecule: long non-coding RNA, 6206 nt
Organism: Larimichthys crocea (large yellow croaker)
Lineage: Eukaryota; Metazoa; Chordata; Actinopteri; Sciaenidae
Exons: 2
Source: RefSeq, a predicted model, not a curated record